Molecule: ribosomal RNA, 406 nt
Filed under: uncultured bacterium
Lineage: Bacteria
Description: partial 16S ribosomal RNA
Rfam family: Bacterial small subunit ribosomal RNA
Source: RNAcentral
AUUGAACGCUGGCGGCAGGCCUAACACAUGCCAGUCGAGCGAUCGGCGGACGGGUGAGUAAUGUCUGGGAAACUGCCUGAUGGAGGGGGAUAACUACUGGAAACGUUAGCUCAUACCGCAUACCAUCAGAUGUGCCCAGAUGGGAUUAGCUAGUAGGUUGGGUAACGGCUCACCUAGGCGACGAUCCCUAGCUGGUCUGAGAGGAUGACCAGCCAGACGGGAACUGAGACACGGUCCAGAUUCCUACGGGAGGCAGGAGGGGGGAAUAUUGGACAAUGGGCGCAAGCCUGAUGCAGCCAUGCCGCGUGUAUGAAGAAGGCCUUCGGGUUGUAAAGUACUUUCAGCGGGGAGGCGUUACCCGCAGAAGAAGCACCGGCUAACUCCGUGCCAGCAGCCGCGGUAAUAC